CCCGCACAAGCAGCGGAGCGUGUGGUUUAAUUCGAUGAUACACGAAGAACCUUACCAGGUCUUGACAUCCCGAUGCUAUUUCUAGAGAUAGAAAGUUACUUCGGUACAUCGGUGACAGGUGGUGCAUGGUUGUCGUCAGCUCGUGUCGUGAGAUGUUGGGUUAAGUCCCGCAACGAGCGCAACCCCUAUUGUUAGUUGCCAUCAUUCAGUUGGGCACUCUAGCGAGACUGCCGGUAAUAAACCGGAGGAAGGUGGGGAUGACGUCAAAUCAUCAUGCCCCUUAUGACCUGGGCUACACACGUGCUACAAUGGUUGGUACAACGAGUUGCGAGUCGGUGACGGCGAGCUAAUCUCUUAAAGCCAAUCUCAGUUCGGAUUGUAGGCUGCAACUCGCCUACAUGAAGUCGGAAUCGCUAGUAAUCGCGGAUCAGCACGCCGCGGUGAAUACGUUCCCGGGCCUU
This 461-nucleotide ribosomal RNA is filed under the name uncultured Streptococcus sp. Its description in RNAcentral is "bacterial SSU rRNA". It matches the Rfam family "Bacterial small subunit ribosomal RNA", at positions 920 to 1382 of the family's 1533-position model. The record is from RNAcentral. Lineage: Bacteria; Bacillati; Bacillota; Bacilli; Lactobacillales; Streptococcaceae.